Molecule: ribosomal RNA, 253 nt
Filed under: uncultured bacterium
Lineage: Bacteria
Description: partial 16S ribosomal RNA
Rfam family: Bacterial small subunit ribosomal RNA
Source: RNAcentral
UACGGAGGGGGCUAGCGUUGUUCGGAAUUACUGGGCGUAAAGCGCGCGUAGGUGGCCACAUAAGUCCGUUGUGAAAGUCAAAGGCUCAACCUUUGAAAGCCGAUGGAUACUGUGUGGCUAGAGUACGGAAGAGGCGAGUGGAAUUCCUGGUGUAGCGGUGGAAUGCGCAGAUAUCAGGAGGAACACCAAUAGCGAAGGCAGCUCGCUGGGACGUUACUGACACUGAGGCGCGAAAGCGUGGGGAGCGAACAGG